AUACGGAGGGGGCUAGCGUUGUUCGGAAUUACUGGGCGUAAAGGGCGCGUAGGCGGAUCGUCAAGUCAGAGGUGAAAGCCCUGGGCUCAACCUGGGAACUGCCUUUGAAACUAACGGUCUAGAGUCCGAGAGAGGAUGGCGGAAUUCCCAGUGUAGAGGUGAAAUUCGUAGAUAUUGGGAAGAACACCAGUGGCGAAGGCGGCCAUCUGGCUCGGUACUGACGCUGAGGCGCGAAGGCGUGGGGAGCAAACAGGAUUAGAAACCCUAGUAGUCC
RNAcentral lists this ribosomal RNA (274 nucleotides) under uncultured bacterium. Its description in RNAcentral is "partial 16S ribosomal RNA". It matches the Rfam family "Bacterial small subunit ribosomal RNA", at positions 523 to 796 of the family's 1533-position model. The record is from RNAcentral.